GUCAGGUGCGGUGGCACAUGUCUGUAGUCCUAGCUACUCGGGAGGCUGAGGCUGGAGGAUCUCUUGAGUCCAGGAGUUCUGGGCUGUAGUGCACUAUGCCGAUCGGGUGUCCACACUAAGUUUGGCAUCAAUAUGGUGACCUCCCGGGAGCGGGGGACCACCAGGUUGCCUAAGGAGGGGUGAACCGGCUCAGGUCGGAAACAGAGCAGGUCAAAACUCCGGUGUGGAUCAGUAGUGGGAUAGCGCCUGUGAAUAGCCACUGCACUCCAGCCUGGGCAACAUAGCGAGACCCCGUCUAU
Molecule: signal recognition particle RNA, 299 nt
Filed under: Aotus nancymaae (Ma's night monkey)
Lineage: Eukaryota; Metazoa; Chordata; Mammalia; Primates; Aotidae
Description: Metazoan signal recognition particle RNA (ENSANAG00000014773.1)
Rfam family: Metazoan signal recognition particle RNA
About the family: The signal recognition particle (SRP) is a universally conserved ribonucleoprotein. It is involved in the co-translational targeting of proteins to membranes.
Source: RNAcentral